RNAcentral lists this ribosomal RNA (346 nucleotides) under Lamyctes brevilabiatus. RNAcentral describes it as "eukaryotic LSU rRNA". It matches the Rfam family "Eukaryotic large subunit ribosomal RNA", at positions 666 to 946 of the family's 3401-position model. Lineage: Eukaryota; Metazoa; Arthropoda; Chilopoda; Lithobiomorpha; Henicopidae. The record is from RNAcentral.
CCAAGGAGUCUAACAUGUGCGCGAGUCGGUGGGAUUGUUUUGAGACACGAGACUCACAGGCGCAAUGAAAGUGAACGCAUUUUUGCUUUAUUGCGGUGCAGAGGCAAGAUCCAUUCGCCCGUCCCUUCAAAACGGACGGUGAUUGAGUGGCGCACUGCCGGCCCGUCGCGAUCGCUAACGUCGAUGCGGCGGAGCAUGAGCACACACGUUGGGACCCGAAAGAUGGUGAUCUAUGCUUGAGCAGGACGAAGCCAGAGGAAACUCUGGUGGAGGUCCGUAGCGAUUCUGACGUGCAAAUCGAUCGUCGGACUUGAGUAUAGGGGCGAAAGACUAAUCGAACCGUCUA